Molecule: ribosomal RNA, 156 nt
Filed under: Vibrio parahaemolyticus
Lineage: Bacteria; Pseudomonadati; Pseudomonadota; Gammaproteobacteria; Vibrionales; Vibrionaceae
Description: partial 23S ribosomal RNA
Rfam family: Bacterial large subunit ribosomal RNA
Source: RNAcentral
GUUGUAUGGUUAAGUGACUAAGCGUACACGGUGGAUGCCUUGGCAGUCAGAGGCGAUGAAAGACGUAGUAACUUGCGAUAAGCCCAGAUUAGGUAGUAACAACCAUUUGAGACUGGGAUUUCUGAAUGGGGAAACCCACGUGCAUAAGCACGUAUC